This 46-nucleotide non-coding RNA is filed under the name Schistosoma mattheei. Lineage: Eukaryota; Metazoa; Platyhelminthes; Trematoda; Strigeidida; Schistosomatidae. The record is from RNAcentral.
CUACUUCUGAGGAGCCCCACAAUAGGACGAAACGGCCGUCCAGUGC